RNAcentral lists this ribosomal RNA (468 nucleotides) under uncultured bacterium. RNAcentral's name for it is "partial 16S ribosomal RNA". It matches the Rfam family "Bacterial small subunit ribosomal RNA", at positions 28 to 507 of the family's 1533-position model. The record is from RNAcentral.
GACGAACGCUGGCGGCGUGCUUAACACAUGCAAGUCGAACGGAAAGGCCCUGCCUUUGUGGGGUGCUCGAGUGGCGAACGGGUGAGUAACACGUGAGUAACCUGCCCUUGACUUUGGGAUAACUUCAGGAAACUGGGGCUAAUACCGGAUAGGAGCUCCUGCUGCAUGGUGGGGGAUGGAAAGUUUCGGCGGUUGGGGAUGGACUCGCGGCUUAUCAGCCUGUUGGUGGGGUAGUGGCUUACCAAGGCUUUGACGGGUAGCCGGCCUGAGAGGGUGACCGGCCACAUUGGGACUAAGAUACGGCCCAGACUCCUACGGGAGGCAGCAGUGGGGAAUAUUACACAAUGGGCGGAAGCCUGAUGCAGGAACGCCGCGUGCGGGAUGACGGCCUUCGGGUUGUAAACCGCUUUCGCCUGUGACGAAGCGUGAGUGACGGUAAUGAGUAAAGAAGCACCGGCUAACUACGUG